Molecule: ribosomal RNA, 554 nt
Filed under: Rhizophagus irregularis
Lineage: Eukaryota; Fungi; Glomeromycota; Glomeromycetes; Glomerales; Glomeraceae
Description: SSU rRNA
Rfam family: Eukaryotic small subunit ribosomal RNA
Source: RNAcentral
AAGUCUGGUGCCAGCAGCCGCGGUAAUUCCAGCUCCAAUAGCGUAUAUUAAAGUUGUUGCAGUUAAAAAGCUCGUAGUUGAAUUUCGGGGUUAGUAGGUUGGUCAUGCCUCUGGUAUGUACUGGUCUCACUGAUUCCUCCUUCCUUAUGAACCGUAAUGCCAUUAAUUUGGUGUUGCGGGGAAUUUGGACUGUUACUUUGAAAAAAUUAGAGUGUUUAAAGCAAGCUAACGCUUGAAUACAUUAGCAUGGAAUAAUGAAAUAGGACGUUCGAUCUUAUUUUGUUGGUUUCUAGGAUUGACGUAAUGAUUAAUAGGGAUAGUUGGGGGCAUUAGUAUUCAAUUGUCAGAGGUGAAAUUCUUGGAUUUAUUGAAGACUAACUACUGCGAAAGCAUUUGCCAAGGAUGUUUUCAUUAAUCAAGAACGAAAGUUAGGGGAUCGAAGACGAUCAGAUACCGUCGUAGUCUUAACCAUAAACUAUGCCGACUAGGGAUCGGAUGAUGUUAAUUUUUUAAUGACUCAUUCGGCGCCUCACGGGAAACCAAAGUGUUUGGGU